RNAcentral lists this ribosomal RNA (253 nucleotides) under uncultured bacterium. RNAcentral describes it as "partial 16S ribosomal RNA". It matches the Rfam family "Bacterial small subunit ribosomal RNA", at positions 524 to 776 of the family's 1533-position model. The record is from RNAcentral.
UACGUAGGGUGCAAGCGUUAAUCGGAAUUACUGGGCGUAAAGCGUGCGCAGGCGGUGAUGUAAGACAGGUGUGAAAUCCCCGGGCUUAACCUGGGAACUGCAUUUGUGACUGCAUCGCUGGAGUGCGGCAGAGGGGGAUGGAAUUCCACGUGUAGCAGUGAAAUGCGUAGAUAUGUGGAGGAACACCAAUGGCGAAGGCAGCCUCCUGGGAUAACACUGACGCUCAUGCACGAAAGCGUGGGGAGCAAACAGG